GAGCACGCGGCACCCAGACACCACGCGCACGCGGCAGGAAGUGGAAGUCACUCUGUAAAUGAGGGGGAUCUUCCUGAAAGGUCCUCCUCUGACCCAAACUAAGGUUCGUCAGUGUUCAGAACAGAAGAAAAAAGCCACACAGAUAUGUUACCUUGUUAAGGAGGCCCUUUCUGCUUCGGUUCUAAUGAAAGUAGCUCCUCCUACCGCCCACCACUGCACUGAAAAAUGUCACUAGGUAAUAAUUGCCAUGGGGAUGGUGGAGCCUGCUGAAGCUGGGGGCGGCCUGACUGAGGACCAUCAUGGAGGUGCGAGGCCUGUCACGCAUCAGCAUCUUCCAAAAUAAAAAAAUAAAAAAAAAUGUUUUUGUGUUUGUUUUAUUCAAGCAGGAUGAGUGACAUAGCUCUGCUUUGACCUUUACGGCUAAAAUGUAACCUUAAGGUCAAAGUGUUUGAACCUUUGCUUUGUGAUAGAAAUAGAAAACAAAGCGGUUUAAUCCUUUAACACUGGAGCUCCAGUGUUUAUGCUCUUAGAUUUGCUGUAACUUUUCAACCGUUAACACGUAAUUCCAGUAGAUUUUGAAGGAGAAAAGCGGCGUGAGCGCCACUUUUCUCCUUCAAAAUCUACUGGAAUUAUUGUGUCAACAGUGACAUAGUACAAAUUUGAGUUAAGAGUCACCAGCUGUUAAAGGGUUAAGGCCCCACAAAGAGGGAGGAGCUAAAAAAAAAAAAAAAAGCGUGCAUCAAAAAUCAUUUAAAAACAUAGAAACUUUUUAUUACCUCUUCAUCACACAUUCAUCUGUUUUUUUCUUCUGUGGAAGUUAUUCUUUAUUUUAAUCACAGCAUUAAAAAAAAAUGUCAAAUACGAACACAAAUGUUCCACAUCAUUCACAGUUUUCGACAGGAUGAGAAGAAGGUAGUAAACUCAGCAAGCUAUUGAGUUUCAUUUGGUAAUGUCACGGAAACACCCUUCUGAAAAAAGCAGCGUUAAAAACCCUGUUUCCAUUGUACAUAAGAAAAUGUUCCUGGAGUCAUUCAUGUUUAGGGGUCAAAUCAGGGUCAAUGGAAAACAAGAUUGAAAAUUUAAAAAAAAGAACAUUUAAAAGCAGUUUUAAACUCCAAAAUAAGUAUUUUAAACUUUAGGAAAUGAUAAAAAAUGAAAAAAAUAAAAUCUAACAUUUAAAAAAUAU
Oryzias melastigma (Indian medaka) is the source of this 1186-nucleotide long non-coding RNA. RefSeq lists it as uncharacterized. The record is from RefSeq and is a predicted model, not a curated record. Lineage: Eukaryota; Metazoa; Chordata; Actinopteri; Beloniformes; Adrianichthyidae. The transcript has 3 exons.